CAUUGACAUGCUUCAUACUUAAAACAUUAACCAAAACUUGUUCAGGCAUUCCAUAAGAGAUUUUUAGAUAUUCUACUAUCUCUCUGAUAUCAACAUGACGAGUUUCAGGCACUGUUUCUUUAACUUUUUCGACGUUAUCGCCAUUAACAGAGGUGUAUGGACGACUUGCAUGAUACAAGUUUUCGAUAACUUCACGGCCUUCAUUGAUUGAUUUGUGCCACUCAAAUACUUGUGUUCGUGAUAAAGUAGACUCCCUAAAACACUUCAUUUUCAACCAUUUCGCAGCCGUUAUGGCUAUGGGAACACAAAAUUUCAAACAAACUCCUUUUUCAAUGGUAAUUUCAUGGUAAAAAUCAUCGGCCAACCUUUUGCGUCUUAAACAAACAGCGGCCUAACAUACACUUCACAGCUCAUAAAAAAAUUGUUCGCGCGCUAUUUAAAUGGACUAGUCAGAGUCAAAAUCGAUCAAAUGGUAAUUCCACUUCUACUGACAUGAUACGGGAGAUUAAAACAUCUAGAGACCAUCCAGAGGUUCCCAUAAAUGAUGAUUCCCGAAGUUUCCGUAUAUUUGAGAAAUUUAUACCAAUUAUAAAGAAAAAACAUAAGACGGCUGAGGGCCAAUUUUCAUCAAAAAACAAUUUGUACAUCUAUGAACUUUCAAAUAUGUCGUAUGUUUAAUAAAUGGCGAACCGAACAAACAACUAGCAUAAAUAUGAUAUACGGUCAUGAUCAAAAAGAUAUAGAACAGCAACGGUUAUUGAAUGAUAUACCCACAUAUCUUGCCUUCGAUUCAAUUCAACAGGAUAAAUGAGAGCACAGCUCAAAGUGCUGCGAAAAAUGGCGAAUCGAAGACGCGUUAUUUACACUAACAUACGUAGGAGUAAUUGGAAUUAAUUACAAGAAAAUUUUCCGCCUCAUUGAACAACAAAAGCUCUAAUUCAAAUUGUUUCAUAGCUUUAUCUCUGUAAGAUCACGAGUACGAGUACAUUAAAACUCUUAAAUUGUGCGUAUUAAUCAUAGCAAAAUAAAUUCCACAGUUAAUGAAAUGGGGGAGAUAAAAAAACAA
Molecule: non-coding RNA, 1066 nt
Organism: Bactrocera oleae (olive fruit fly)
Lineage: Eukaryota; Metazoa; Arthropoda; Insecta; Diptera; Tephritidae
Source: RefSeq, a predicted model, not a curated record